Molecule: long non-coding RNA, 773 nt
Organism: Physella acuta
Lineage: Eukaryota; Metazoa; Mollusca; Gastropoda; Physidae
Source: RefSeq, a predicted model, not a curated record
AGGCAUUGGACAAUGAAAGACACUGUACUGAUUCGUAAUGUAUUGAAAGCAGUAAUUGAGUGGAUGACUGUUGGUUUUCUCCUUGCCCAUCUUUUUCGAAUUGAAACUAUCACAAUUCAGGACGUUCUUAUAGGAGUAUUUAUUUUGUUCAUCAUCUUUCACCUCUGCUGAGCUCUAGCCCACCCCCACAUACAACCCAGUUGGUAUUUCUUCACAAUCUGUAACAAAACACAUGUCGUCCCCAGACUGUCAGCAGGAGGAAAGUGAAUUGUUUCCAGGUGUUGCCUGGUGUAUCGUAAUGGGUUACCUCCUAGCUCACCUGUGGCCUCCAGGAACAUUGUCAGUGCGAGAUAUUCUAUUGGGAUCCUGUGUGAUGUGCUGCGUGGUUCUAGGUGGAAUGCCAAUACAGCACAAAUGUAAAGAAACCUAAUUCAGGCAACAUCAAGAAAUUUGGUUAAAAACUCAAGAUUUGAAGUCAAAGAAGAAAAAAAACCGGAUGUGUUACGUGUUCCUUUGCUUUUACUAUCGUCACGGAUAAGCCGGGGGUAGGGUGUCGUCCAGUAAAUGAUGUCCCGUUCCGAUGACGAUUUUCUACUCCCUCCUCCCCUCUUAUCAGUAUUGAAAGGCAGACCCUCACCUCAGCAUGACGUCAUACUUCAGUCUGAUCGCCCCAACACCUACGAUUGUGACGUCAUGUAUGCACCGGCACUUAAUGUUAGGCAUUAAAAGAUACGAGGUUGUUGAAUGAAGACGUCUGUUUUGCUACAUCUAAU